RNAcentral lists this ribosomal RNA (468 nucleotides) under uncultured bacterium. RNAcentral describes it as "partial 16S ribosomal RNA". It matches the Rfam family "Bacterial small subunit ribosomal RNA", at positions 28 to 507 of the family's 1533-position model. The record is from RNAcentral.
GACGAACGCUGGCGGCGUGCUUAACACAUGCAAGUCGAACGGAAAGGCCCUGCUUUUGUGGGGUGCUCGAGUGGCGAACGGGUGAGUAACACGUGAGUAACCUGCCCUUGACUUUGGGAUAACUUCAGGAAACUGGGGCUAAUACCGGAUAGGAGCUCCUGCGGCAUGGUGGGGGUUGGAAAGUUUCGGCGGUUGGGUAUGGACUCGCGGCUUAUCAGCUUGUUGGUGGGGUAGUGGCUUACCAAGGCUUUGACGGGUAGCCGGCCUGAGAGGGUGACCGGCCACAUUGGGACUGAGGUACGGCCCAGACUCCUACGGGAGGCAGCAGUGGGGAAUAUUGCACAAUGGGCGGAAGCCUGAUGCAGCAACGCCGCGUGCGGGAUGACGGCCUUCGGGUUGUAAACCGCUUUCGCCUGUGACGAAGCGUGAGUGACGGUAAUGGGUAAAGAAGCACCGGCUAACUACGUG